GAUGAACGCUGGCGGCGUGCCUAAUACAUACAAGUCGAGCGAACAGACGAGGAGCUUGCUCCUUCGACGUUAGCGGCGGACGGGUGAGUAACACGUAGGUAACCUACCUAUAAGACUGGGAUAACUUCGGGAAACCGGAGCUAAUACCGGAUAAUAUUUCGAACCGCAUGGUUCGAUAGUGAAAGAUGGCUCUGCUAUCACUUAUAGAUGGACCUGCGCCGUAUUAGCUAGUUGGUAAGGUAACGGCUUACCAAGGCAACGAUACGUAGCCGACCUGAGAGGGUGAUCGGCCACACUGGAACUGAGACACGGUCCAGACUCCUACGGGAGGCAGCAGUAGGGAAUCUUCCGCAAUGGGCGAAAGCCUGACGGAGCAACGCCGCGUGAGUGAUGAAGGUCUUCGGAUCGUAAAACUCUGUUAUUAGGGAAGAACAAACGUGUAAGUAACUGUGCACGUCUUGACGGUACCUAAUCAGAAAGCCACGGCUAACUACGUG
This 497-nucleotide ribosomal RNA is filed under the name uncultured bacterium. RNAcentral's name for it is "partial 16S ribosomal RNA". It matches the Rfam family "Bacterial small subunit ribosomal RNA", at positions 28 to 507 of the family's 1533-position model. The record is from RNAcentral.